RNAcentral lists this ribosomal RNA (426 nucleotides) under uncultured bacterium. Its description in RNAcentral is "bacterial SSU rRNA". It matches the Rfam family "Bacterial small subunit ribosomal RNA", at positions 354 to 777 of the family's 1533-position model. The record is from RNAcentral.
GUGAGGAAUAUUGGUCAAUGGGCGGAAGCCUGAACCAGCCAAGUCGCGUGAGGGAAUAAGGCCCUACGGGUCGUAAACCUCUUUUGCCGGGGAGCAAAGCACGGGACGUGUCCCGUGCCGGAGAGUACCCGGAGAAAAAGCAUCGGCUAACUCCGUGCCAGCAGCCGCGGUAAUACGGAGGAUGCGAGCGUUAUCCGGAUUUAUUGGGUUUAAAGGGUGCGUAGGCGGCCUGUUAAGUCAGCGGUAAAAUUGCGGCGCUCAACGCCGUAGAGCCGUUGAAACUGGCUGGCUAGAGUGGGCGAGAAGUAUGCGGAAUGCGUGGUGUAGCGGUGAAAUGCAUAGAUAUCACGCAGAACCCCGAUUGCGAAGGCAGCAUACCGGCGCCCUACUGACGCUGAGGCACGAAAGUGCGGGUAUCGAACAGGA